UCCUUCCUUAGCUCAGUUGGUAGAGCAGUGGACUCUUAAUCCAUGGGUCGUAGGUUCGAGCCCUACAGGGAGGAU
RNAcentral lists this transfer RNA (75 nucleotides) under Streptococcus mutans. RNAcentral describes it as "tRNA-Lys". It matches the Rfam family "tRNA". From Rfam's summary of the family: Transfer RNA (tRNA) molecules are approximately 80 nucleotides in length. Lineage: Bacteria; Bacillati; Bacillota; Bacilli; Lactobacillales; Streptococcaceae. The record is from RNAcentral.